AGAUACUCAACGAAAACGAUGGGAGUGGGGUUAACUCCGAGGCAUCAUCCAUUGUUACUGAGGCUAAGCUAGUUCCAUGUUCAGAUAAAGGAGAACUCAAUACAAAGAAGGCCUCUUCGGCAGACAUAAAUGAUGAAGAUAUAUCAGAGGCGGCAACAGAUGACACAAUCCAAAAGGACGAUGUCGCUGAAGUCGAGGGAGAUGAGUAAACUCAUUGUCCCGACGGCGUACACAACCUAUACAAGCUUACAAAUUAAGAAAACAAAAAUAAACUAGCAUAUUCUACCAUAGAGAAGACAUUUUUAUUGAUGUAAAAAUAUACCAACAUUUUUGUUAGGUAAUGUUUCGCCUGAAAUUUAAAA
Long non-coding RNA from Ruditapes philippinarum (Manila clam), 362 nucleotides. RefSeq lists it as uncharacterized. The transcript is spliced from 5 exons. The record is from RefSeq and is a predicted model, not a curated record. Lineage: Eukaryota; Metazoa; Mollusca; Bivalvia; Venerida; Veneridae.